CAGCAUAAAGGGGAGCCGAAGCUCCCCUUUAAAUCGUUGCACGUGCUCUUUCUUAUUAUUUUAGGGAGGUCUGUUGUUGUUUUUGGCAACCAUUCCCUUUCUGCGUUCUUCAGUGAUCCCCAUGCGGGAUUCAAGAGCAAACGUAUUUUUUUGAGCGCUAACACGCUUCGAUCCCAUGCCAGUGGCCAGGAUCCAACCCGUUCCGGACGCUACCUGAUGGUAGUU
This 225-nucleotide small RNA is filed under the name Pseudomonas sp. LP_7_YM. RNAcentral's name for it is "Pseudomonas sRNA P29". Lineage: Bacteria; Pseudomonadati; Pseudomonadota; Gammaproteobacteria; Pseudomonadales; Pseudomonadaceae. The record is from RNAcentral.